GACGAACGCUGGCGGCGUGCUUAACACAUGCAAGUCGAACGGAAAGGCCCUGCUUUUGUGGGGUGCUCGAGUGGCGAACGGGUGAGUAACACGUGAGUAACCUGCCCUUGACUUUGGGAUAACUUCAGGAAACUGGGGCUAAUACCGGAUAGGAGCUCCUGCUGCAUGGUGGGGGUUGGAAAGUUUCGGCGGUUGGGGAUGGACUCGCGGCUUAUCAGCUUGUUGGUGGGGUAGUGGCUUACCAAGGCUUUGACGGGUAGCCGGCCUGAGAGGGUGACCGGCCACAUUGGGACUGAGAUACGGCCCAGGCUCCUACGGGAGGCAGCAGUGGGGAAUAUUGCACAAUGGGCGGAAGCCUGAUGCAGCAACGCCGCGUGCGGGAUGACGGCCUUCGGGUUGUAAACCGCUUUCGCCUGUGACGAGGCGUGAGUGACGGUAAUGGGGAAAGAAGCACCGGCUAACUACGU
This 467-nucleotide ribosomal RNA is filed under the name uncultured bacterium. RNAcentral describes it as "partial 16S ribosomal RNA". It matches the Rfam family "Bacterial small subunit ribosomal RNA", at positions 28 to 506 of the family's 1533-position model. The record is from RNAcentral.